AUUAGCUUGCUAAUUUGCUGACGAGCGGCGGACGGGUGAGUAAUGCCUGGGAAUAUGCCUUAGUGUGGGGGAUAACUAUUGGAAACGAUAGCUAAUACCGCAUAAUGUCUUCGGACCAAAGAGGGGGAUCUUCGGACCUCUCGCGCUAAGAUUAGCCCAGGUGAGAUUAGCUUGUUGGUGAGGUAAGAGCUCACCAAGGCGACGAUCUCUAGCUGGUCUGAGAGGAUGAUCAGCCACACUGGAACUGAGACACGGUCCAGACUCCUACGGGAGGCAGCAGUGGGGAAUAUUGCACAAUGGGCGAAAGCCUGAUGCAGCCAUGCCGCGUGUAUGAAGAAGGCCUUCGGGUUGUAAAGUACUUUCAGUCGUGAGGAAGGGUGUGUAGUUAAUAGCUGCACAUCUUGACGUUAGCGACAGAAGAAGCACCGGCUAACUCCGUGCCAGCAGCCGCGGUAAUACGGAGGGUGCGAGCGUUAAUCGGAAUUACUGGGCGUAAAGCGCAUGCAGGUGGUUCAUUAAGUCAGAUGUGAAAGCCCGGGGCUCAACCUCGGAACCG
This 556-nucleotide ribosomal RNA is filed under the name Aliivibrio sp. Its description in RNAcentral is "bacterial SSU rRNA". It matches the Rfam family "Bacterial small subunit ribosomal RNA", at positions 74 to 623 of the family's 1533-position model. The record is from RNAcentral. Lineage: Bacteria; Pseudomonadati; Pseudomonadota; Gammaproteobacteria; Vibrionales; Vibrionaceae.